RNAcentral lists this ribosomal RNA (235 nucleotides) under uncultured bacterium. RNAcentral describes it as "partial 16S ribosomal RNA". It matches the Rfam family "Bacterial small subunit ribosomal RNA", at positions 96 to 334 of the family's 1533-position model. The record is from RNAcentral.
UGGCGGACGGGUGAGUAAUGUCUGGGAAACUGCCCGAUGGAGGGGGAUAACUACUGGAAACGGUAGCUAAUACCGCAUAACGUCGCAAGACCAAAGAGGGGGACCUUCGGGCCUCUUGCCAUCGGAUGUGCCCAGAUGGGAUUAGCUAGUAGGUGGGGUAACGGCUCACCUAGGCGACGAUCCCUAGCUGGUCUAAGAGGAUGACCAGCCACACUGGAACUGAGACACGGUCCAG